Molecule: ribosomal RNA, 392 nt
Filed under: uncultured bacterium
Lineage: Bacteria
Description: partial 16S ribosomal RNA
Rfam family: Bacterial small subunit ribosomal RNA
Source: RNAcentral
AUACGGAGGAUCCGAGCGUUAUCCGGAUUUAUUGGGUUUAAAGGGUGCGCAGGCGGCCAUUUAAGUCAGCGGUUAAAUCGUGGGGCUCAACCCCAUUCUGCCGUUGAUACUGGGUGGCUUGAUUGCGGUCGAGGUUGGCGGAAUUCGUUGUGUAGCGGUGAAAUGCUUAGAUAUCACGAAGAACUCCGAUUGCGAAGGCAGCCUGCUGGACUGUAACUGACGCUGAUGCUCGAAAGUGCGGGGAUCGAACAGGAUUAGAUACCCUGGUAGUCCGCACAGUAAACGAUGAAUACUUGUUUUCGGCGAUAUAAUGUCGGAGGCAAAGCGAAAGCGAUAAGUAUUCCACCUGGGGAGUACGCCGGCAACGGUGAAACUCAAAGGAAUUGACGGGG